RNAcentral lists this small RNA (29 nucleotides) under Bombyx mori (domestic silkworm). RNAcentral describes it as "ovarian small RNA-21408". Lineage: Eukaryota; Metazoa; Arthropoda; Insecta; Lepidoptera; Bombycidae. The record is from RNAcentral.
UACUCGUACUUUCCUGUCGCGCAGGUAGC